GGUGAUUCUAUGCAAGCGGGCGGGUUAAUACGGUGGUUGCAAGCGUGACUCGGAAUGACUGGUCGUAAAGAGCGUGUAGGCUGAUUGAUAAGUUUGAAGUUAAAUCCUAUAGCUUAACUAUAGACCUUCUUUGAAGACUGUUACUCUAGACUGUGGGAGAGGUAGAUGGAAUUUCUGGUGUAGGGGUAAAAUCCGUAGAGAUCAGAAGGAAUACCGAUUGCGAAGGCGAUCUACUGGAACAAUAUUGACGCUGAGACGCGAAAGCGUGGGGAGCAAACAGGAUUAGAUACCCGGGUAGUC
This 300-nucleotide ribosomal RNA is filed under the name uncultured Facklamia sp. RNAcentral's name for it is "bacterial SSU rRNA". It matches the Rfam family "Bacterial small subunit ribosomal RNA", at positions 496 to 795 of the family's 1533-position model. Lineage: Bacteria; Bacillati; Bacillota; Bacilli; Lactobacillales; Aerococcaceae. The record is from RNAcentral.